Molecule: ribosomal RNA, 253 nt
Filed under: uncultured bacterium
Lineage: Bacteria
Description: partial 16S ribosomal RNA
Rfam family: Bacterial small subunit ribosomal RNA
Source: RNAcentral
UACGAAGGGAGCUAGCGUUGUUCGGAAUCACUGGGCGUAAAGCGCACGUAGGCGGAUUUGUCAGUCAGGGGUGAAAUCCCGGGGCUCAACCUCGGAACUGCCUUUGAUACAGCAAGUCUUGAGUUCGAGAGAGGUGGGUGGAAUUCCUAGUGUAGAGGUGAAAUGCGCAGAUAUCAGGAAGAACACCCGUGGCUAAGGCGGCUCUCUAGUACGGUACUGACGCUGAGACGCGAAGGCGUGGGGAGCGAACGGG